ACUCCUACGGGUGGCUGCAGUGGGGAAUAUUGCGCAAUGGGGGGAACCCUGACGCAGCCAUGCCGCGUGAAUGAAGAAGGCCUUCGGGUUGUAAAGUUCUUUCGGUAUUGAGGAAGGUUGAUGUGUUAAUAGCACAUCAAAUUGACGUUAAAUACAGAAGAAGCACCGGCUAACUCCGUGCCAGCAGCCGCGGUAAUACGGAGGGUGCGAGCGUUAAUCGGAAUAACUGGGCGUAAAGGGCACGCAGGCGGUUAUUUAAGUGAGGUGUGAAAGCCCUGGGCUUAACCUAGGAAUUGCAUUUCAGACUGGGUAACUAGAGUACUUUAGGGAGGGGUAGAAUUCCACGUGUAGCGGUGAAAUGCGUAGAGAUGUGGAGGAAUACCGAAGGCGAAGGCAGCCCCUUGGGAAUGUACUGACGCUCAUGUGCGAAAGCGUGGGGAGCAAACAGGAUUAGAUACCCUGGUAGUCCACGCUGUAAACGCUGUCGAUUUGGGGGUUGGGGUUUAACUCUGGCGCCCGUAGCUAACGUGAUAAAUCGACCGCCUGGGGAGUACGGCCGCAAGGUUAAAACUCAAAUGAAUUGACGGGGGCCCGCACAAGCGGUGGAGCAUGUGGUUUAAUUCGAUGCAACGCGAAGAACCUUACCAGGCCUUGACAUCCAGAGAACUAAGCAGAGAUGCUAUGGUGCCUUCGGGAACUCUGAGACAGGUGAUGCAUGGAUGUCGUCAGCUCGUG
Molecule: ribosomal RNA, 735 nt
Filed under: uncultured bacterium
Lineage: Bacteria
Description: bacterial SSU rRNA
Rfam family: Bacterial small subunit ribosomal RNA
Source: RNAcentral